Molecule: long non-coding RNA, 587 nt
Organism: Homo sapiens (human)
Lineage: Eukaryota; Metazoa; Chordata; Mammalia; Primates; Hominidae
Source: Ensembl
AGGGGUGACACAAGGCAUGCAGAAACCCUCGAGGUCCCCUGGAGGGCAGAGUAAACCAUCAACAACAGGUAGUCAGAGCCCAGCCUUAUGGUCUGGAAUUAAGCAUCUAGAAGGAUAGGGAUGACAGGGGGAGGGCAAGAACAGUUAGGACCUCGCUUCUGGAGUAGCUAGAAAAACAUGGAGAGAUGGAAACAAACCAAGGACUGGGACAUGAGGGAAGACAAGCUAGAAGCCCACUUGCCGGGACCAAUUUAUCACAUUAAUAUGGACUAGCCAAGAGGCUGACAAUGCUGUGUCCUUUUGGAGCAAUUAAAGAAAUUCCUGACUGACUCUAACUCAGGAGCAUCUGAAAAUGACCUGGAACCGGAAGACAGUAAAGGUCAUAAAUGAUGUACCUUUUACAUCUGGCAGAGGGCCAGGACAGUUCUGGGGUUCAUAUUUCUCUCCUUCUCUACUCUGAGGUUUAUACGGCCCCCCCACCGCCCCCAAGAUCACCUUGAUGGGACAAUUUGGCCUAUCCAGGCAGGAUCAACAAGAGGAAUUCAAGGAGAAAGCAAAUUGUUUUGCAAAUAGAGUAAGAUAUGUUU